AGGAAGACACCAGAGAAGUACACAGGGUUAAAAGGGACGUGGGUGACGUGACCAUUCUCAUUAACAACACUGGGGUCAUCACGGGAAAGCAGUUUCUCGACACUCCAGACCACAUGGUGGAAAGAACAUUUCAUACAAAUGCCCUGUCUCACUUCUGGGUAAGUCUUCUUUCCUUUUCAUUUCCUUUUGUUGAUGGAUAUGAAAAGUGUGUGUAUUUCAACAAGCAACUGGUCAACUAUGUAUCUGUCAGUAUACCAUUAAUGUGUUUCCACUGACUGACAAAUAGACCCUUAACCUACCCAGGUUUCACCUUGCCACACACUCCACUUUGUUUCUCCCAUUCUUGCCUGACUCCAAAUUCUCAGGGCAGGGAUCUUCCCUCUACCCUCUCUAGUUUUGUCCCAAGACUCAGUAGGUUCCUCGAAAUCCUGCUACCAAAAUACAAACGGAAUAUGACAGCCAUUACACAGGAAAGAUUUAAUUUGUUCAUGAGUAAAAGCAGGGCUUGUGCACAGGAAGGAGGGGGCUGUUUUCAGAGUGGCAGUUUCUGCCCACACGCAACUGGGUAUCACAACAAAGGAAAUCAUGGGGAGAGGAAGAAUUAUCAACAUCCAUUAGCUCUUAACUAUAUACCAGGCACUGCUCUAAGUUCUUUCUGUGCAGGGUUGCCAUGACACUAUUUUCAUUGUCACUUUUACAAGUGAGCAAACUUGAGGUGCAAAGGGUUUAAGUGAUUUAUCCAAGGUCCCUCAACUGCUAAGGGAUGGCCCAAGGUUACAAAGGGAAGAAGCAAGACUCUUUACAGCAGGAAAAUUAGUACAUUUGUAACUCAGGAGCAUCUUUCUUAAGGGUUGGAGUGUCUAGACCAGGGCUGUCUCCUAGAACUAUCUGUGAUGAUGGACGUGUUCUUUUUCUGUGCUUCCCAAUAUGGUAGCCCCUGGUCACUUGUGGCUACUGAGCACUUGCAAUGUGUGUGGUCAGUGGGAUUGAGGAGCUAAACUUUUAAUUUCAUGGCAUUAAAUUAUUUCAAUGUAUAUUUAAAUAGCCAUGUACACAUAGAGGCUGUCAUCUUGGACAAUGCAUCUCCAGGAAAUGGAUAGGAAACCAAACAUACUUGAGUUGCUAGAGGAGUCUCCACCCAGAGGGCUUAUACUUGAAGCGAUGAUGGAAUGAACAGGGACUGGCAGUGAUGGGGCCCACAGGAGGCUCAGGAACCCGGAGCCAGGCUUCAGGAACCAUGAGGAAGGGCCCUCGGCCCUCUGUGGCUCUGAGGAUAGGGCCAUGGGAUACACUAGCUUUAGGCACCCAGGCUCCUUCUUACUCCUCACUCUUCGAGGUCCUCAGGACUACUUUCUUGAUCUUCUCUUGGGAACCUUCAUUGGAGUCCAACAAUAUGGACUGAGCACCUAGCACAAUGCUUGACAUUCAGUAGGUAUUCCAUAAACAUAGGCGAAAAUCACUGAUUUCUUUCCCUCCCUCACCCUACCCCAAAGCUUCUUUGGGGAAGAGGAAUUGCCAUCUUGGCAA
RNAcentral lists this long non-coding RNA (1527 nucleotides) under Sus scrofa (pig). RNAcentral describes it as "lncRNA (ENSSSCG00030043050.1)". The record is from RNAcentral. Lineage: Eukaryota; Metazoa; Chordata; Mammalia; Artiodactyla; Suidae.